RNAcentral lists this transfer RNA (72 nucleotides) under Ictidomys tridecemlineatus (thirteen-lined ground squirrel). RNAcentral's name for it is "Spermophilus tridecemlineatus (thirteen-lined ground squirrel) tRNA". It matches the Rfam family "tRNA". Rfam says of the family: Transfer RNA (tRNA) molecules are approximately 80 nucleotides in length. Their secondary structure includes four short double-helical elements and three loops (D, anti-codon, and T loops). The record is from Rfam by way of RNAcentral. Lineage: Eukaryota; Metazoa; Chordata; Mammalia; Rodentia; Sciuridae.
GGUGGUGUAUCUUAGUGGUAAAGUGCUUGCCUACCAUGCAUGAGGCUCUGGAUUCAAUCUCUAGAAUCAACC